AAAUUCUUAGUAUAUUAAGUAUUUUCAAUUGCAAAUUGAGGGGUUAAGAGUUUUA
RNAcentral lists this transfer RNA (55 nucleotides) under Parazoniolaimus collaris. Its description in RNAcentral is "tRNA-Cys". Lineage: Eukaryota; Metazoa; Nematoda; Chromadorea; Rhabditida; Strongylidae. The record is from RNAcentral.